CAGAAUAGCUGAGGAGAACCAGGGAGACGACAAACAAGAUGAGGUGCCCACAACAUAUCUGGAGAGGCUCAACUUCCACAAUCUCCUAAAUUAAUGCCGUUUGGCCCCUACCCUUUUGCCCCUGGGCUCAAAACUACAGGGAUGAAAGUGGAGAAGAGCCUGAGGGAAAGGAGGUCCAGUGAUAGCCCAAAUUGAGAUCCAGCUCAAGGGGAGGUCCCAAGGCCUGACCAUUACUCAGGCUAUGGUGUGCUUACAAACGAGCCUAUCAUCACUGCUCUCUGAGAGACCCAACAAGCAGCUGAAAGAGUCAGUUGCAGAUAUUUUCACCCAACCAAUGGAUAGAAGAUGGUGACCCCUGUGGCUGAAUUAGGGAAAAGCUGGAAGAAGCUGAGGAGGAGGACGACCCCAUAGGAAGACCAGCAGUCUCAACUAACCUGGACCCCCAGGAUCUCUCAGACACUGAGCCACCAACCAGGCAGCAUAUACCAACUGAUAUGAGGACCCCAACACAUAUACAGCAGAGGACUGCCGGGUCUGAACUCAGUCAGAGAAGAUGCAUCUAACCGUGGAGAGACUUGGGACACUUGGGGAGGCCUAGUGGUGUUGGAGAUGGGGUGAGGGGGUGGGAUGUGGAACAGUUUGAGCAUGGACUGGAAGGGGGAUAAAAUCUGGAGUGUAAUAUAAGAUUAAAGAAUAAAAAAGAAAGAAAAAAA
Molecule: non-coding RNA, 713 nt
Organism: Rattus norvegicus (Norway rat)
Lineage: Eukaryota; Metazoa; Chordata; Mammalia; Rodentia; Muridae
Source: RefSeq, a predicted model, not a curated record